RNAcentral lists this ribosomal RNA (522 nucleotides) under uncultured Glomus. RNAcentral's name for it is "SSU rRNA". It matches the Rfam family "Eukaryotic small subunit ribosomal RNA", at positions 569 to 1092 of the family's 1831-position model. Lineage: Eukaryota; Fungi; Glomeromycota; Glomeromycetes; Glomerales; Glomeraceae. The record is from RNAcentral.
AGCAGCCGCGGUAAUUCCAGCUCCAAUAGCGUAUAUUAAAGUUGUUGCAGUUAAAAAGCUCGUAGUUGAAUUUCGGGGUCAGUAGGUUGGUCGUGCCACUGGUAUGUACUGGCCUCACUGAUUCCUCCUUCCUGAUGAACCGUAAUGCCAUUAAUUUGGUGUUGCGGGGAAUCUGGACUGUUACUUUGAAAAAAUUAGAGUGUUUAAAGCAGGCUAACGCUUGAAUACAUUAGCAUGGAAUAAUGGAAUAGGACGUUCGAUCCUACUUUGUUGGUUUCUAGGAUUGACGUAAUGAUUAAUAGGGAUAGUUGGGGGCAUUAGUAUUCAAUUGUCAGAGGUGAAAUUCUUGGAUUUAUUGAAGACUAACUACUGCGAAAGCAUUUGCCAAGGAUGUUUUCAUUAAUCAAGAACGAAAGUUAGGGGAUCGAAGACGAUCAGAUACCGUCGUAGUCUUAACCAUAAACUAUGCCGACUAGGGAUCGGAUGAUGUUAAUUUUUUAAUGACUCAUUCGGCGCCUUACG